RNAcentral lists this ribosomal RNA (505 nucleotides) under uncultured bacterium. RNAcentral describes it as "bacterial SSU rRNA". It matches the Rfam family "Bacterial small subunit ribosomal RNA", at positions 15 to 507 of the family's 1533-position model. The record is from RNAcentral.
GAUCCUGGCUCAGGAUGAACGCUAGCUACAGGCUUAACACAUGCAAGUCGAGGGGAAACGAUAGAGAAAGCUUGCUUUUUCUAGGCGUCGACCGGCGCACGGGUGAGUAACGCGUAUCCAACCUGCCCAUCACUUGGGGAUAACCUUGCGAAAGUAAGACUAAUACCCAAUGACGUCUCUAGAAGACAUCUGAAAGAGAUUAAAGAUUUAUCGGUGAUGGAUGGGGAUGCGUCUGAUUAGCUUGUUGGCGGGGUAACGGCCCACCAAGGCGACGAUCAGUAGGGGUUUUGAGAGGAAGGUCCCCCACAUUGGAACUGAGACACGGUCCAAACUCCUACGGGAGGCAGCAGUGAGGAAUAUUGGUCAAUGGACGAGAGUCUGAACCAGCCAAGUAGCGUGCAGGAUGACGGCCCUAUGGGUUGUAAACUGCUUUUAUAAGGGAAUAAAGUGAGUCUCGUGAGGCUUUUUGCAUGUACCUUAUGAAUAAGGACCGGCUAAUUCCGUG